UACGUAGGUGGCAAGCGUUAAUCGGAAUUACUGGGCGUAAAGCGUGCGUAGACGGUUAUGUAAGUCAGAUGUGAAAGCCCCGGGCUCAACCUGGGAAUUGCAUUUGAGACUGCAUAGCUAGGGUGCGGAAGAGGGAAGCGGAAUUUCCGGUGUAGCGGUGAAAUGCGUAGAUAUCGGAAGGAACACCAGUGGCGAAAGCGGCUUCCUGGUCCAGCACCGACGUUCAGGCACGAAAGCGUGGGGAGCAAACAGG
This 253-nucleotide ribosomal RNA is filed under the name uncultured bacterium. Its description in RNAcentral is "partial 16S ribosomal RNA". It matches the Rfam family "Bacterial small subunit ribosomal RNA", at positions 524 to 776 of the family's 1533-position model. The record is from RNAcentral.